This 491-nucleotide ribosomal RNA is filed under the name uncultured bacterium. Its description in RNAcentral is "partial 16S ribosomal RNA". It matches the Rfam family "Bacterial small subunit ribosomal RNA", at positions 29 to 507 of the family's 1533-position model. The record is from RNAcentral.
GUGAACGCUGGCGGUAGGCCUAACACAUGCAAGUCGAACGGCAGCACAGUAAGAGCUUGCUCUUACGGGUGGCGAGUGGCGGACGGGUGAGGAAUACAUCGGAAUCUACUUUUUCGUGGGGGAUAACGUAGGGAAACUUACGCUAAUACCGCAUACGACCUACGGGUGAAAGCAGGGGAUCUUCGGACCUUGCGCGAUUGAAUGAGCCGAUGCCGGAUUAGCUAGUUGGCGGGGUAAAGGCCCACCAAGGCGACGAUCCGUAGCUGGUCUGAGAGGAUGAUCAGCCACACUGGCACUGAGACCCGGUCCCGACUCCUACGGGAGGCAGCAGUGGGGAAUAUUGGACAAUGGGCGCAAGCCUGAUCCAGCCAUACCGCGUGGGUGAAGAAGGCCUUCGGGUUGUAAAGCCCUUUUGUUGGGAAAGAAAAGCAGCAGGUUAAUACCCCGCUGUUCUGACGGUACCCAAAGAAUAAGCACCGGCUAACUUCGUG